GGAAGUAAAAGUCGUAGCAAGGUUUCCGUAGGUGAACCUGCGGAAGGAUCAUUAUUGUAUAACCGAGGUGCGAGGGCUGUCGCUGACCCGAAAGGUCGUGCACGCCCGAGUGCCCUCACACACAUCCAUCUCACCCCUAUGUGCACCACCGCGUGGGUCCCCCUUUGGCUUGUUCGGAGGGGGGCUUACGUUUUCACACAAACUUUGUAUGCAGUGUAGAAUGUAUUUUUUGUUUUUGCGAUCACGCAAUCAAUUCAACUUUCAACAACGGAUCUCUUGGCUCUC
This 285-nucleotide unclassified non-coding RNA is filed under the name plant metagenome. Its description in RNAcentral is "partial contains small subunit ribosomal RNA, internal transcribed spacer 1, and 5.8S ribosomal RNA". The stretch from base 1 to 54 matches the Rfam family "Eukaryotic small subunit ribosomal RNA", at positions 1778 to 1831 of the family's 1831-position model. The record is from RNAcentral.